This 348-nucleotide unclassified non-coding RNA is filed under the name soil metagenome. RNAcentral's name for it is "partial contains 5.8S ribosomal RNA, internal transcribed spacer 2, and large subunit ribosomal RNA". The stretch from base 1 to 120 matches the Rfam family "5.8S ribosomal RNA", at positions 35 to 154 of the family's 154-position model. The record is from RNAcentral.
GAUGAAGAACGUAGCGAAAUGCGAUAAGUAAUGUCAAUUGCAGAAUUCAGUGAAUCAUCGAAUCUUUGAACGCACAUUGCGCCCGCCAGUAUUCUGGCGGGCAUGCCUGUCUGAGCGUCAUUUCAACCCUCAUGCCCCUAGGGCGUGGUGUUGGGGAUCGGCCAAAGCCCGCGAGGGACGGCCGGCCCCUAAAUCUAGUGGCGGACCCGUCGUGGCCUCCUCUGCGAAGUAGUGAUAUUCCGCAUCGGAGAGCGAUGAGCCCCUGCCGUUAAACCCCCAACUUUCCAAGGUUGACCUCAGAUCAGGUAGGAAUACCCGCUGAACUUAAGCAUAUCAAUAAGCGGAGGA